This is a non-coding RNA of Mycena haematopus, 93 nucleotides long. NCBI's taxonomy places the organism in Eukaryota, Fungi, Basidiomycota, Agaricomycetes, Agaricales, Mycenaceae. The record is from the annotation of a GenBank genome assembly.
GGCUCGGUAGCGCAUGGAUGCGCAUCUGCUGCACUUGCACCAACUCGUGUAUACUUCGAGCAGAAGGUCCCCGUUCGAUUCGGGGUCGAGCCA